AGCUUGCUGAGGAUCUGCCUAAGUUGAGGGUGAAGUCCUAAGAGAGAUCUUCAGAGGAUCUUCUCUUAAAUGAGAUGUGUAUAUCUUUGGUCAUGGGCUCUGUGAUUUGAGAGUUACCUUGCAGAAAACUUCCAUGACAGGUUGCUGACAGUUGCAACUAGUAAAACUCAUGUGGGCAUUAACAGAAAUAGACAAGAGAACUCCCCCCUCCCAAAUCAACUCCAAAGCUUACGGUGACAUGAAAGUGGACAGAGAAGAAACAUACAAGUACAUUUUAUAUCUGCUGAUGAUCAGAUGUUGUGAAGCCAGGCAAGGAAGAGCACACAAUUUUGAAAAUUCUUUCAUGAAAUCUACUUUGCAAUAUCGACCUAGGUUGCAAGGGCCAUCAGGUUAAGAGUUAAGAUUGGAUGAGUAGAAGGAACUAUGAGGUGAUGGAAAGAGUUACACCUGAAGUCUCAUAUUUCCCCAUUUUAUCCUGUACACAAUAUACGACUAGUGAUUGGAAAAACUGAACCAUUCAAGUUGAAGAUUCUUGAGCAGCAAAAUCAAAUUAGUCAUGUAUUGGUGUUUUGAGGUCGGAAAGGGAUCUACUGCAAAGAGUCAUGAUCCUGCUGAUAAAAGAUGAGAUGAAAAAAACGAUUCCUCCAGGCCCAGUACUACAUUGAAACAUCAACAUAAAAUAAACUUGCU
Long non-coding RNA from Canis lupus familiaris (dog), 690 nucleotides. RefSeq lists it as uncharacterized. NCBI's taxonomy places the organism in Eukaryota, Metazoa, Chordata, Mammalia, Carnivora, Canidae. The record is from RefSeq and is a predicted model, not a curated record. The transcript is spliced from 5 exons.